This 355-nucleotide long non-coding RNA is filed under the name Gossypium barbadense (sea-island cotton). RNAcentral's name for it is "long non-coding RNA (GBAR_LNC005046)". The record is from RNAcentral. Lineage: Eukaryota; Viridiplantae; Streptophyta; Magnoliopsida; Malvales; Malvaceae.
UGCUGUUUCUAUCUUUUUUUCUAGCAGCAUCCGCUUUUCCAGAACACUAAAAAAUGCUGACACCUCGUGGUGUCUCCUGACAAAAUGCACUGCUAAGCGGUCGAACAGUUCCAUCCUUCUCGUGUGAUCCGGCAUCAGGGGUUGCUCGAGAAUCGGGACGAGAACAACCUGUGCUAUUUCAGGAUCAGUCAGGGGCCUUGGAAGCGCGCAGUUGGACCGCUUGAUGGAAAUCCGCUGCGCCAGACGGGGAACCACUUCUUACGUCGCACAUGGCUAUCUCCAGGAGGGGCCCCUGACUGAUUAUUCCAACGAUAGAUAGAAUAAGACCCAGAAGUUGGAUGAGACUGCCAUGAAU